UUCCUUAUCGUGCGGCGAAAUUGUAUCUAUAGAAAAGCAAGAGCCCCCCCCCUCAAUAUUCCCACGCCCAUAGAGGAGCUAAGGAUGGGGCAAUAGGGGGGGGAAAGCAUCUCAAGGAAUGACAUUGUCUAGAAGAUCAACCAAGAGAUGCUUCUCCGCUAAUCUUAAACUUUCUGAACUGUGAUCUGCUGGAUUGUAACUAGAUUUAUAGUUUCAAUGCAUUCCUGUGCUUCUGUAUUUAGAAGUAAAUCACAUUGAAUCAUAUGAGCCUUAUUUCAGGUAAGUAUGAUUAUUGCAGUUUAUCCAUUUAACUCAGUGGGAAAUAUUUCUAAAUAAACAUAUAUGAACUGCAUGUGAUUAAUAGAUAACACUUGGAAAUACAACAACUGAGGAUGUAAAAUCUAGAAAUUAGAAAGACUGAAAGAAAAAAUUCUGUUUUGCUUUUUUUAUAGUCAUUAGCUCCAUUUUUUGCAGUUCUCCCAAGUGAGCAUGGAAUAAACCCUCUCCCUAACUUCUGGACUGUUGUCA
This is a non-coding RNA of Thamnophis sirtalis, 528 nucleotides long. Lineage: Eukaryota; Metazoa; Chordata; Lepidosauria; Squamata; Natricidae. The record is from RefSeq and is a predicted model, not a curated record.